GACGGGGGGGGCAAGUGUUCUUCGGAAUGACUGGGCGUCAAGGGCACGUAGGCGGUGAAUCGGGUUGAAAAUGAAAGUCGCCAAAAAGUGGCGGAAUGCUCUCGAAACCAAUUCACUUGAGUGGGACAGAGGAGAGUGGAAUUUCGUGUGUAGGGGUGAAAUCCGUAGAUCUACGAAGGAAGGCCAAAAGCGAAGGCAGCUCUCUGGGUCCCUACCGACGCUGGGGUGCGAAAGCAUGGGGAGCGAACAGG
RNAcentral lists this ribosomal RNA (251 nucleotides) under uncultured bacterium. RNAcentral's name for it is "partial 16S ribosomal RNA". It matches the Rfam family "Bacterial small subunit ribosomal RNA", at positions 524 to 776 of the family's 1533-position model. The record is from RNAcentral.